This 342-nucleotide ribosomal RNA is filed under the name Triticum aestivum (bread wheat). RNAcentral describes it as "partial small subunit ribosomal RNA". Lineage: Eukaryota; Viridiplantae; Streptophyta; Magnoliopsida; Poales; Poaceae. The record is from RNAcentral.
AUGCCCGGCCCAAUGAGCAUAAUCACCCUCGGCUGCGACAAGAGGGAUGCGCUCAUUUGCGACGAUCAACUUUACCGAGAGGCAGUUGCAGGGUCCGUCGCCAAGAUACUUGCUCCCGCCACCGAGAAGAAGACUGGCAAGGCUCCGGCCGCCGGCAAGGCUCCUGGCUCUAGCAAGGGCUCCUGCACUCUCUCCGGCAAACGUGCCUCUUUGGAGUGUUGUGUUCCCGUUGAGGACGUGCCAGAGAGCUCUACCGGCAAGAGCAAGAAAUCAAAGGCGGCCCCGCCAGAAACCAAGGAGGUGCCCGUCAAGGAGGAUGGCAUGGGUGGAGUUUUUACAUAA